CCUACGGGAGGCAGCAGUCGAGAAUCAUUCACAAUGGGGGAAACCCUGAUGGUGCGACGCCGCGUGGGGGAAUGAAGGUCUUCGGAUUGUAAACCCCUUUCAUGUGGGAGCAAAUUAAAAAGAUAGUACCACAAGAGGAAGAGACGGCUAACUCUGUGCAAGCAGCCGCGGUCAUACAGAGGUCUAAAGCGUUGUUCGGCAUCACUUGGCGUAAAGGGUGCGUAGGCUGUUUCGUAAGUCGUGUGUGAAAGGCGCGGGCUCAACCCGCGGACGGCACAUGAUACUGCGAGACUAGAGUAAUGGAGGGGGAAGCGGAAUGCGCGGUGUAGCGGUGAAAUGCGUAGAUAUUCGGAGGAACACCGGUGGCGAAGGCGGCCAACUGGGCUUUAACUGACGCUGAGGCUCGAAAGUGUGGGGAGCAAAAGGGAUUAGAUACCCGGGUAGUC
RNAcentral lists this ribosomal RNA (446 nucleotides) under uncultured bacterium. Its description in RNAcentral is "partial 16S ribosomal RNA". It matches the Rfam family "Bacterial small subunit ribosomal RNA", at positions 338 to 795 of the family's 1533-position model. The record is from RNAcentral.